This 559-nucleotide ribosomal RNA is filed under the name uncultured organism. RNAcentral describes it as "SSU rRNA". It matches the Rfam family "Bacterial small subunit ribosomal RNA", at positions 237 to 788 of the family's 1533-position model. The record is from RNAcentral.
CUGAUUAGCUAGUUGGAGGGGUAACGGCCCACCAAGGCGAUGAUCAGUAGCCGGUCUGAGAGGAUGAACGGCCACAUUGGUACUGAGACACGGCCCAGACUCCUACGGGAGGCAGCAGUGGGGAAUCUUCCGCAAUGGACGAAAGUCUGUCGGAGCAACGCCGCGUGAGUGAUGACGGCCUUCGGGUUGUAAAGCUCUGUUAAUCGGGACGAAAGGCCUUCUUGCGAAUAGUUAGAAGGAUUGACGGUACCGGAAUAGAAAGUCACGGCUAAUUACGUGCCAGCAGCCGCGGUAAUACGUAGGUGUCACGCGUUGUCUGGAAUUAUUGGGCGUAAAGCGCGCGCAGGCGGAUUGGUCAGUCUGUCUUAAAAGUUCGGGGCUUAACCCCGUGAUGGGAUGGAAACUGCCAAUCUAGAGUAUCGGAGAGGAAAGUGGAAUUCCUAGUGUAGCGGUGAAAUGCGUAGAUAUUAGGAAGAACACCAGUGGCGAAGGCGACUUUCUGGACGAAAACUGACGCUGAGGCGCGAAAGCCAGGGGAGCGAACGAGAUUAGAUACCCC